CAUCGUGAGGUGGAAUCUGAAGGAAGCCGGAUGUCAAGGUGAGGAGCCUUGGCGGGCAAACUCCUGAACCGACGAACAGAAAUCACAUAGUAGGCCGCACAGGGACGGACGAGUGUGCCAAACAACACAAAGUCCAAUGCUGUCCGAAUCCCGUGCGGUAAAUGUGGCGGCUACAUAGGAGGAAAGUUGU
RNAcentral lists this non-coding RNA (190 nucleotides) under human gut metagenome. The record is from RNAcentral.